Long non-coding RNA from Eptesicus fuscus (big brown bat), 328 nucleotides. RefSeq lists it as uncharacterized. The record is from RefSeq and is a predicted model, not a curated record. Lineage: Eukaryota; Metazoa; Chordata; Mammalia; Chiroptera; Vespertilionidae. The transcript has 4 exons.
CUCCAGCCAGGCCUGAACUGCUGCACGGCGUAUGGAGGGAAGGCACCGAAGUCCACGGCUCAAGGCACACAGGUGUUGGCAGAAUUGGCUGAGGCAUGACUUAGCCUUCCUGGAAUUUCCUGUUUAUAAAUGACAGCAGAGAACAAGUUAUUCCUGUAGGAAAGUGAUCUGGCCCAUACCUGAGGCCAUGCCACCAGAUCUGCUUUGACUGUGAGCGAGGACUCUUCUCAUGGAUGCAGCAGGGAGUGGAUUCCUGAGAGGAUGACCAAGUGAGGUGAUGGAGACAGAGGUCCCUUGUAAAUGGCCAGCAUUGUGCAAAGUAAUGAAG